CCGACACAGGUAGUCGAGGCGAGUAGCCUCAGGUGAGCGAGAGAACUCUCGUUAAGGAACUCGGCAAAAUGACCCCGUAACUUCGGGAGAAGGGGUGCUGACUUUUAGUCAGCCGCAGUGAAUAGGCCCAAGCAACUGUUUAUCAAAAACACAGCUCUCUGCUAAAUCGUAAGAUGAUGUAUAGGGGGUGACGCCUGCCCGGUGCUGGAAGGUUAAGAGGAGGGUUUAGCGUAAGCGAAGAUCUGAAUUGAAGCCCCAGUAAACGGCGGCCGUAACGAUAACGGUCCUAAGGUAGCGAAAUUCCUUGUCGGGUAAGUUCCGACCCGCACGAAAGGCGUAAUGAUUUGGGCACUGUCUCAACGAGAGACUCGGUGAAAUUUUAGUACCUGUGAAGAUGCAGGUUACCCGCGACAGGACGGAAAGACCCCAUGGAGCUUUACUGCAGUUUGAUAUUGAGUAUCUGUACCACAUGUACAGGAUAGGUAGGAGCCUAUGAAAUCGGGACGCCAGUUUCGAUUGAGGCGCUGUUGGGAUACUACCCUUGUGUUAUGGCUACUCUAACCCGGUAGGUUAAUCAUCUACGGAGACAGUGUCUGACGGGCAGUUUGACUGGGGCGGUCGCCUCCUAGAAGGUAACGGAGGCGCCCAAAGGUUCCCUCAGAAUGGUUGGAAAUCAUUCGCAGAGUGUUAAGGUAUAAGGGAGCUUGACUGCGAGAGCUACAACUCGAGCAGGGACGAAAGUCGGGCUUAGUGAUCCGGUGGUUCCGUAUGGAAGGGCCAUCGCUCAACGGAUAAAAGCUACCCUGGGGAUAACAGGCUUAUCUCCCCCAAGAGUUCACAUCGACGGGGAGGUUUGGCACCUCGAUGUCGGCUCGUCGCAUCCUGGGGCUGUAGUCGGUCCCAAGGGUUGGGCUGUUCGCCCAUUAAAGCGGCACGCGAGCUGGGUUCAGAACGUCGUGAGACAGUUCGGUCCCUAUUCGUCGCGGGCGUAGGAAAUUUGAGAGGAUCUGCUCCUAGUACGAGAGGACCAGAGUGGACUUACCGCUGGUGUACCAGUUGUCUCGCCAGAGGCAUCGCUGGGUAGCUAUGUAGGGAAGGGAUAAACGCUGAAAGCAUCUAAGUGUGAAGCCCACCUCAAGAUGAGAUUUCCCAUAACAUUAAGUUAGUAAGAGCCCUGAGAGAAGAUCAGGUAGAUAGGUUGGAAGUGUAAGUGUGGCGACACAUGUAGCGGACCAAUACUAAUCGCUCGAGGACUUAUCC
This 1260-nucleotide ribosomal RNA is filed under the name metagenome. RNAcentral describes it as "bacterial LSU rRNA". It matches the Rfam family "Bacterial large subunit ribosomal RNA", at positions 1654 to 2925 of the family's 2925-position model. The record is from RNAcentral.